This 1056-nucleotide ribosomal RNA is filed under the name Salmonella enterica subsp. enterica. RNAcentral's name for it is "bacterial SSU rRNA". It matches the Rfam family "Bacterial small subunit ribosomal RNA", at positions 1 to 1046 of the family's 1533-position model. Lineage: Bacteria; Pseudomonadati; Pseudomonadota; Gammaproteobacteria; Enterobacterales; Enterobacteriaceae. The record is from RNAcentral. RNAcentral also lists the same sequence under 1 other name.
AAAUUGAAGAGUUUGAUCAUGGCUCAGAUUGAACGCUGGCGGCAGGCCUAACACAUGCAAGUCGAACGGUAACAGGAAGCAGCUUGCUGCUUUGCUGACGAGUGGCGGACGGGUGAGUAAUGUCUGGGAAACUGCCUGAUGGAGGGGGAUAACUACUGGAAACGGUGGCUAAUACCGCAUAACGUCGCAAGACCAAAGAGGGGGACCUUCGGGCCUCUUGCCAUCAGAUGUGCCCAGAUGGGAUUAGCUUGUUGGUGAGGUAACGGCUCACCAAGGCGACGAUCCCUAGCUGGUCUGAGAGGAUGACCAGCCACACUGGAACUGAGACACGGUCCAGACUCCUACGGGAGGCAGCAGUGGGGAAUAUUGCACAAUGGGCGCAAGCCUGAUGCAGCCAUGCCGCGUGUAUGAAGAAGGCCUUCGGGUUGUAAAGUACUUUCAGCGGGGAGGAAGGUGUUGUGGUUAAUAACCGCAGCAAUUGACGUUACCCGCAGAAGAAGCACCGGCUAACUCCGUGCCAGCAGCCGCGGUAAUACGGAGGGUGCAAGCGUUAAUCGGAAUUACUGGGCGUAAAGCGCACGCAGGCGGUCUGUCAAGUCGGAUGUGAAAUCCCCGGGCUCAACCUGGGAACUGCAUUCGAAACUGGCAGGCUUGAGUCUUGUAGAGGGGGGUAGAAUUCCAGGUGUAGCGGUGAAAUGCGUAGAGAUCUGGAGGAAUACCGGUGGCGAAGGCGGCCCCCUGGACAAAGACUGACGCUCAGGUGCGAAAGCGUGGGGAGCAAACAGGAUUAGAUACCCUGGUAGUCCACGCCGUAAACGAUGUCUACUUGGAGGUUGUGCCCUUGAGGCGUGGCUUCCGGAGCUAACGCGUUAAGUAGACCGCCUGGGGAGUACGGCCGCAAGGUUAAAACUCAAAUGAAUUGACGGGGGCCCGCACAAGCGGUGGAGCAUGUGGUUUAAUUCGAUGCAACGCGAAGAACCUUACCUGGUCUUGACAUCCACAGAACUUUCCAGAGAUGGAUUGGUGCCUUCGGGAACUGUGAGACAGGUGCUGCAU